This 646-nucleotide long non-coding RNA is filed under the name Ananas comosus (pineapple). RNAcentral's name for it is "long non-coding RNA (ACOM_LNC022840)". The record is from RNAcentral. Lineage: Eukaryota; Viridiplantae; Streptophyta; Magnoliopsida; Poales; Bromeliaceae.
UAUAUAGAAAAUGUGAUAGCAUUAAAAGUCUUAAGCGGAUUUAAAUAUUUUGGAUGGUGGCUAGGUCUAAGGGGUUAAAAGAGUUAAGCGUGUUAAAACGAGAGUAGUCCUGUGAUGGGUGACCUCAUGGAAAGUUGGGACGUCACAGUUAGUAUGAGAGCCAAUUAUCAGCCAGAAGUGUACGAGAUGAGCCUUGGUUGAGACAGAAUUAUACAGCGGAGAGAGGGAGACUCCCAUACUGUUAAUUGUUGUGGGUGAAGCGCAAUUCACCACAAGGUUAGUUUAGACUAGCGACACGAGUCUCACAUCACCUGAUACUUGUGAGCCUGAAUCUGACGAGAACGUCAGGGCUUAAAAGGGGGAGAAUGUGAGGUGGUGACUAGACCCAAAAGGUUAAGAAAGUUUAACGUGUUAGAUGAAAUACUAUCUACCCGCUGCAAAGUGCAACGCUCCUGCACUAGUAUAUAAAGAACUAGGCUGGAAUACUAUCAAUAGCACCAAGCUAUUGGUGCUAUUGAUUUUUUAGCUCUUAGAUUAAGAAAUGGAUGGUUAGGAUGAUAUGGGUCCCCUAGGGUUGAGUGAGUUGUUGGUUGAAUAGUAUAAUCUAACAGGUAAAAAUAAUUAGAAAGUUAAAUCUAACGGUGNA